This 165-nucleotide ribosomal RNA is filed under the name uncultured bacterium. RNAcentral's name for it is "partial 16S rRNA". It matches the Rfam family "Bacterial small subunit ribosomal RNA", at positions 355 to 511 of the family's 1533-position model. The record is from RNAcentral.
UAGGGAAUCUUCCACAAUGGGCAAAAGACCUGAUGGAGCAACGCCGCGUGUGUGAUGAAGGCUUUCGGGUCGUAAAGCACUGUUGUAUGGGAAGAACAGCUAGAAUAGGAAAUGAUUUUAGUUUGACGGUACCAUACCAGAAAGGGACGGCUAAAUACGUGCCAG